GAAGGAGCCGAUCCCUGUCCUCCCCACUGUGCAUUAUAACAUGGACGGCAUUCCCACCAGCUACGAGGGGCAGUGGUGUCAACCGCCUCGGGGCAAACUCGCUGUUGGACCUGGUUGUCUGGUCAGGCAUGUGCCCUGAGCAUCGCAGAGUCGUGCAGGCCUGGAGAUAAAGUCCCUCCAAUUAAACCAAAUGCUGGGGAAGAAUCUGUCACGAAUCUUGACAAAUUGAGAUUUGCUGAUGGAAGAAGCAUAAGAACAUCGGAACUGUGACUCAGCAUGCAGAAGGUAAGAGCCUGGACUCGCUCUGGAGUGAGCAGGCUAGCUGCAUACCUGGCCCUGCACUGGUUUUGUUUUUUUAAAAACAGAUCUAGGGGGAUGCAGGUGCAGUUUUGUGUGGAUGUACUGGGAAGUGGUGGAGUCUGGGCUUUUCAUGUACCCGUCACCCAAGUCGUGUGUGUUGUACUCAGCAGAUAAUUGCUCAUCCCCACCCCUCCCGCUUUUUGG
RNAcentral lists this long non-coding RNA (504 nucleotides) under Pan troglodytes (chimpanzee). RNAcentral's name for it is "lincRNA". The record is from RNAcentral. Lineage: Eukaryota; Metazoa; Chordata; Mammalia; Primates; Hominidae.